AACGAACGUUGGCGGCGUGGAUUAGGCAUGCAAGUCGAACGCGAAAGUGCCCUUCGGGGCGCGAGUAGAGUGGCGAACUGGUGAGUAACAGGUGGGCAAUGUGCCUCCAAGUGGGGGAUAACCCUUGGAAACAGGGGCUAAUACCGCAUAGGGCUCGAUAGUCGUUGGACCGUCGGGUUAAAGGUGCGCUUCGCGCGUGCCGCUAGGAGAGCAGCCCGCUCCCGAUUAGCUUGUUGGUAGGGUAACGGCCUACCAAGGCUACGAUCGGUAGGUGGCCUGAGAGGGUGGUCACCCACACUGGGACUGAGAUACGGCCCAGACUCCUACGGGAGGCAG
This 336-nucleotide ribosomal RNA is filed under the name uncultured Candidatus Sumerlaeota bacterium. RNAcentral describes it as "bacterial SSU rRNA". It matches the Rfam family "Bacterial small subunit ribosomal RNA", at positions 28 to 351 of the family's 1533-position model. The record is from RNAcentral. Lineage: Bacteria; Candidatus Sumerlaeota.